This is a long non-coding RNA of Myxocyprinus asiaticus (Chinese sucker), 8442 nucleotides long. RefSeq lists it as uncharacterized. Lineage: Eukaryota; Metazoa; Chordata; Actinopteri; Cypriniformes; Catostomidae. The transcript has 6 exons. The record is from RefSeq and is a predicted model, not a curated record.
UUAUUCUCUCAGUGCUUUGAACUCUGGUACCCUAUACAGCUCCAACCACCCCUCUCUGCAACAGCAAGAACUCACACCGAGGUGCCCCUCUCUCUCUCUCUCUCUCUCUUUUUCUCUCUCUAUCUCUCUCUCCCUCUCUCUAUCUAUCUAUUUCCCUCUCCCCUUCCCUGCUGUGUCGCACUUCUCUUUCUCUUCCUUUAAGCUGUACCUCUCAGCUCCUCUCAUUCUUCUUUCAUUUUCAGCCCCAUGUGGUUCUCUCUCUUCCUCUCUGUGCCUGUUUCUGAUGUAUGGCUGGACUUGCGUGUGUACUGCUCCUGGAGAAGAUGUGUUUAUGGUCUGUUCACUGGUUCACUGAUUGAUAUUCUGCCCAGCUGGACUGGAAACUGGUUUGCACACCUUCUUUAUCUGUCUGGGUCCUCACCUAGCCCUGAAACAUGACACUACCUGCACAAGAAUGGAUUUUUUGGACUUCCCUGAACCACCCUACCCUGUCCAGAUCAUCUACCCCCAAGUGGGCACUGCAGAGGGGCAGCAGUGUCAAGGGAUGGAGCCAUCUCUCCUUUGGCUAUUAUCUCUAAGUGCAUCUGAAUGCACAUCCAUGGGAUGCAGGAACAGCAACAUUGAAGCUCCUGGCAUGCUUCAUGGCUUGGACAGCAAAGUUGUUGUGGACGAGCACAGAUGAUGAAGAAUAUUAGGAGUUUUGUGAAGAUAUUCCCCAUAAAAAUGAUCCCAAAUCCCUAAUUUGACCUGCCAAGGAUCACCCUUGGACAUUUCCCAAACCAUUUCUGGACUUUAUUUUCAUUUUGACAAGGAAGAUAUUGGUAAAGAUGCACAUUCAGAAAGUCUUUGUGAUCAUUACCUUCAGCAAGCUCAUAGUGGAGCAGAUGGUGGCCCUCAUUGGGCAUCUAGAUUUUAUUUUUAAUCAUGCUUUUAUUUUGACGUGUGGUUUUGACAGAAGCUUCACUUCUUCAAAUGAAUAAACUGUUCACUACAUGGCCCAGUGUGAUCAUUAACAGUGCAAAUGCGGUGAUUUAAUUAUAUAAAUAUAUAGUCUACAUGUGCUACGUGCUUCACAGUGGAUUAGUGCUCUACUUUGUCAUCUCAUACAAUGCAAAUGAUUCUCAAUGUCUGUGGAGUUUCCAGUGUAUGAGCGGUCUGCUUCACACAUUCAUUUAAAGCACAACAAAAUGUUGCCCAAAAGUAAGUUUGUUACAUCUUAAAGGUGCACUCAGUAAUUAUUUCCCCAUUAAAAAAGUUUAAUUCGUAAAGACAUGAAUUGUAAUUUUGCAAUAUAUUUGGAAAUCAUGACCACUCACAUUAAAAUGAAGACUCCAGUCAUAUCAGUAACCUUAUAAAAGCUGUUUUAUUCUACAUGGAGAGGGUCUGCACAUGGGGGCUGCCAUGUUUGAAUCACAUGACCAGCUGAAUACUACUCUCUUAAUCUCAGUAACCAUCCUGUUAUUUGACACUUUCACUCAUUGAUUAAAGAAAUCAUGUCUGACUGUGAAUACUACAUUUCUACAAUGACAUCUGAAACAGAAAACUACUGAUUUUAAAUUAUGCUGCAUUCAAGCCGCUAGGUGUCAGUGUAAGUCCAAGAUGACACAAAGACAAAAGUUACUGAGUGCACCUUCAAUUUAUAAAAAAAUAGAUAAACUGUUCAAAUUAAUACAUUAAAAAUUAUUAGAUCAUGUCCAUAGUUAAUGUGAUGUACUACACCUAUGGUCAGUCUGCUUGGACACCAGUGUGAACUUGAGGGGAACUUCCUUAAUACAUACAGUUGUAGUCAGAAGUUUCGAUACACUUAGGUUGAAGUCAUUAAAACUCAUUUUUUAUCCACUCCACAGAUUUAACAUUAGCAAACUGUAGUUUUGGCAAGUCGUUUAGGGCAUCUACUUUGUGCAUGACACGAGUAAUUUUUCCAACAAUUGUUUACAGACAGAUUGUUUCACUUUUAAUUGACUAUAUCACAAUUCCAGUGGGUCAGAAGUUUAUAUACACUAAGUUAACUGUGCCUUUAAGCAGCUUGGAAAAUUCCAGAAAAUGAUGUCAAGCCUUUAGACAAUAAGCCAAUUAGCUUCUGAUAGGAGGUGCACUGAAUUGGAGGUGUACCUGUGAAUGUAUUUUAAGGCCAACCUUCAAACUCAGUGCCUCUUUGCUUGUCAUGGGAAUAACAAAAGAAAUCAGCCAAGAACUCAGAAAAAAAAAAAAACUGUGGUUUCCACAAGUCUGUUCUUGGGAGCAAUUUACAAAUGCCUGAAGGUACCACGUUAAUCUGUACAAACAAUAGUACGCAAGUAUAAACACCAUAUGACCCAUAGCCAUCAUACCGCUCAGGAAGGAGACGCAUUCUGUCUCCUAGAGAUGAACGAAGUUUGGUGCGAAAAGUGCAAAUCAAUCCCAGAACAACAGCAAAGGACCUUGUGAAGAUGCUGGAGGAAACAGGUAGACAAGUAUCUAUAUCCACAGUAAAAUGAGUCCUAUAUCGACAUAACCUGAAAGGCUGCUCAGCAAGGAAGAAGCCACUGCUCCAAAACUGCCAUAAAAAAGCCAGACUACAGUUAGUGAAUGCACAUGGGGACAAAGAUCUUACAUUUUAGAGAAUUGUCCUCUGGUCUAAUGAAUCAAAAAUUGAACUGUUUGGCCAUAAUGACCAUCGUAAUGUUUGGAGGAAAAAGGGUGAGGCCAAAGAACACCAUCCCAAGCGUGAAGCAUGGGGGUGGCAGCAUCAUGUUGUGGGGGUGCUUUGCUGCAGCAGGGACUGGUGCACUUCACAAAAUAGACUUCAUGAGGAAGGAAAAUUAUGUGGAUAUAUUGAAGCAAAAUCUCAAGACAUCAGCCAGGAAGUUGGUCGCAAAUGGGUCUUCCAAAUGGACAAUGACCCCAAGCAUACCUCCAAAGUUCUGGCAAAAGGGCUUAAGGACAACAAAGUCAAGGCAUUGGAGUGGCCAUCACAAAGCCAUGACCUCAGUCUGAUAGAAAGUUUGUGGGCAGAACUGAAAAAGCGUGUGCGAGCAAGGAUGCCUACAAACCUGACUCAGUUACUCCAGUUCUGUCUGGAGAAAUGGGCCAAAUUUCCAGCAACAUAUUGUGAGAAGCUUGUGGAAGGCUACCCAUUUGUAUGCUACCAAAUACUAACAAAGUGUAUGUAAACUUCUGACCCACUGGGAAUUUAAUGAAAGAAAUAAAAGCUGAAAUAAAUCAUUCUCUCUACUAUUAUUCUGCCAUUUCACAUUCUUAAAUAAAGUAGUGAUCCUAACUGACAUAAGGCAGGGAAUGUUUUCUACAGUUAAAUGUCAGGAAUUGUGAUAAACUGAGUUUAAAUGUAUUUGGCUUAGGUGUAUGUAAACUUCUGACUUCAACUAUACUUGAAAAAUACUGUGGGACCAGUUGAUUAAAAGUAAUUACAAAAAUGUUUGGAAAAGUGAUGUCAGUUCUGAAAAAACCUCUAGCAUCAUUUGUUUACAGAUGCCACUUGGUUUGAUGUUUUGUUAUCAAUUAAAUUAAUAUUUUUUUAAGUGUGGUGGAAGUGUCCAAAUACAUUAUUGGGACACCGUACUUACACACCAACAGUACCUUCAUACUUUAAUGGAAUACUACUAUGUUGUGCCAUGUCUUUGUGAAAGAGACUCUCCCCAGAAUGACAUGAAGUAGAGCUGUAGUGCAGUAAUAAACCGGGCUGUUGUUCUUUAAUGGACUAAUACCAUCUGCUGUGUUGUGUUGAAAAAACGCAUGUUGUAUUGUCUUAAGCACCAGACUCUUUUAAACACCUGUGCUGUGGCAGUGGGAAGUAUUGUGUUCAAUCCGGGUAAUAGGAUGCUAUAGGUGGGCUGUUUUGGCUUGUGAACACCUGUCUUCAUGGACAGUCCCGUUUGACAAUGCGAAGUGUCAAUCACCCCAGCCAUAACUGCAACACCACACUGAGAUUGCAUCAGCUCCAUCAUCAACAACACGUUGCCCUUUUACUUUCUAAAAAAGCUGAUGCUAUAGGGAAUUUCUUACAAAUCUGUUUCCAAUGAAAAAAAAAAUAAAAAAAUAAACUUUAUUUUCCUUAUUUUUUGUCCACAUGAUGUUUUUGACCCAAAAUUAAGUCGAGGGAAUAUCAGCAGAUUUGGGUUAUUUAUGGACUUGUUUUUCUCAAGACGCAGUGAGAAAUGAUGAUUGUGAUUGUAGAGUUGCGUUCACUGUGUCAUUACUGUUUAUCUCUCAGUGUCUUUUUGUGGUUUUACCAAGUACAGGCGAAGAUAUGAUGCAACUUAAAUCCAUCUGAGUGUGUGUGUGGAAUGGUACAUUUUGUGCUCGGUGUGAGUGUAUGUUUGGAUUUGUAAGAGAAAGUUUGCUUGUUCUAGUCUUUUCUAGGUAUGUGUACGUAUUUAGCUGUAGUUUGUGGACAAAGUAGUCCCCAAAAGUUAGCUAAAUCUGACUAAACCUCUCUUUGGGGACAUUUGGCGUUGUCCUCUAUUGGAAAAUUGAUUCAUAAAUAAAGCAAAUGCUUUUUUAAAUUUUUUAUGUAUUUUUUUUAUUUUAUUUUAUUUUUAAAGCACAAAAAAUAUUUUAGAGGUAAGGUUUGGGUUAGACAUUAUAAUGAGCUUAAUUUAAAAUAAUAAACAUUGUAUAUCUGUCCCCAUUUAUAUAACAAAGUGGUAAUGCUUUGCCAUAAGGUUCCAUGGCAAAUGCAGUUAAUGCAAAGUUGAUAAAAAUACUAUUGUUUUUUUGUAAGUUGAUGUUAAUUCUUGGUGCAUUAACUAAUGUAAACAUUUACAACUUUUGCUUUUAAAAAUGUAUUAUAUGUUGAAAUUAACAUUAACUAUGAUUAAUAAAUGCUUAAUAAAUAUUGUUCACUGUUAGUUCAUGUUAACUAAUAUUAGUAACUAAUGUUAACAUAUGGAACCCUAUUUUAAAGUGUUACCAGCAAAGUAAACGUGUGUAUGAGUACCAGUGGGUAUAUGAAAGUGAAUCGAUAUAAAGAUCAAAAUAGUGAAACUGAAGCCCUGAGAGCAAAGUGUAUUUCUUGUGAUGAAUAUCCAUAUUUCUCAGAAACACUCUCUUUUUUAAUUUGAUAAAUUUCCUUUUUUACAAUGCACCAAACGCCUUUCACACCCUGCUAAAGUCGCCCUUUCAGAUUAAGUACGUGCUUGUAACUUGAAGGCUUUACCUCAAUCCCUUAAAGGCAUCAAAAGAUUCAUUUUAGUUACUGCCGUUUUAAGUAAUUUUAGUCACUGAAACAAGUAAAAUUAUUUUUCUUUGUCCUCCUUGCUCCAGAUGUCAGAUUUUUGGCAGAACAUCCCAAGCUUUACAUUUACAUUUUCUAGUUUUAACACUCAGCUCAUAAAUAUUCCAAAGAGAACGCUCAGAUUUAUGCUAUUUAUUGAUCCAAAUAUCAUGCAAUAAAAGAGAAAUAAAAUGCUGUUAUUUCUGGAAUAUUCAUGUCAUUGUUGUCUCUGAAGCAAUGCAUUUGCUUUUAUUCUUAGCUGUUAUCCAGUAAAAAGUCAUGCAGUUUCUCCUAUUGCUGUCUUGGAUUGUGUGUCACAGAAUAUCUUGUGCUUUAUUACACAAAUGUUAAUGUUUACCUAUUUUACUACCUUUCACUUAUGAACUCUUGCUCCUGUAUGUUUAUGGCUUUGCCUUGCUCUUGUUAUGACCCCCUGAUUUUAUACAGUAGGUGUGUGGUCCUAUUACUCUAAUGUGAAAAGAUCCAUCAAUAAUCAAUGAACUUUGAUCAGGUGCUCACCGACUCUGCAGACCUUAAUUAUGUUAGUGCAGUCAGUGGUUGUGUGGUGUUAUUUCAUUAUUCAGUCACGUGAUUUGGAGAGUCUUAGUAUGAUAUAUGAUUAAUGGAAAUGCACUUUAUCACAAAAAAAUAAUAAUAAUAAUAAAAAAAAAAAAAAGGAUUUUUGCUGCUUGUUCAAUUUAGUUGAGCUAAAGCAACACAAUUCUAGGAUAUUUUGUCACAACUUGAUUCCAUUGCGUUCUGUUCAUUUCAAUUUGUAAAAUGGACAUUUUCUUAAUCCAUUUGGGCUGGGACUACAUGAUUACUUUUUGUGGUGUUAAUGUAGCAUUGAUGAAACUGGGCAGGGGAUUUCCAUUUCCCAGCACACUUUGCAUGGGACUUGAUUAGGAGAGCAAAUGUUAAAAUGAAGUGUUAUUUUAUGUUUUUGUGCAAGAUGAAUAUGAAUUGGGAUAGUUGUUAGUGUUGAAUGUUGGUUCUGUUAAGAUUUAGAAGAGUUUCUGUUAUGUUGGACAUUUAGUGGUUACCAUUAUGGUAAAGAGUGGAGCUUGAGCUAACAAUGAGGACAGGCAGAUGUUGUAAAUUAAACUGAUUGCUCACUUUGUUGAGCAAAUGCUAUGCCAACUAUAGCAUAGUUAUUAAACAACACUCUGUAGUGCUUCUAACCAGCAUGUAUUUAACAUGUAAAAAUUUACUAGUUAAUACAUAAAGAUUUAAGAGGUUUAUUUGAGUUACAUUGAAAUGUCUAAUUUCGUUGGGUUUAUCUGUAUUCAACUAGGCCUUUUUCUACACAAACUGUUUGUGUUACAUAUUAAAUUUAAGUAAAGGAAACUAAUUUCAAACAUGUGGAACCACUGUCCAUGAUUGAAUCAAGUUUAGCUACAGAGCAAUUUUUUUAGUGAACCUGAGACCAUCAAUUCAGCAAAAACAGAAACAUGGUUCGAUUCAUUUAAUGCAUGAUUGAAAAUGUUGUAUUGUUACUGUGUAUCUUGAAUUAUCUGGAAUUAAACAGUGCAGAAACUGUAUAUUCUGCACAUUAAGGGGAAUAAAGCAGCUUGUACACUGAAAAAUAAUUGCUGAUUUAACUUAAAUUGUGGACAGUGGUUCAACACGAUGAAAAUUAGUUUCUUUGAUAUAAAAUUAAAAUGUAGGCUCUACUCAAAUACUUUGUGUAGAGAAAACCUAAAUGAAUUGAGGUAACCUUACUUAUAUUUGUUCAGUUUAAAUAACUCUAUCGAACCUUGCAGCUUUUUGCAUACUAUGUAUAUCUUUUUGUACUGGAAAAUUAACAGUUCCCCAAUCAGUCAUUAUAGGGAUGACCCCUCAGUUUUUGCUUCAUGUGAAAAGCAUUACACACUAAUUUUUCAAAGGCAACAUACCCAACCUUGACCUAACCAUUAGAUCCACUCUUCUCCACAAUGGUAACCUCCAAAAAUGUUUGCAUAACACAACAUUUAACACUAACAUGUCUUCUACUUGUUUCAUUUUGCAUAGAAAUACGUUCAAAUAACACUUAAUUUUCAGUCCCAUUCAAAGCAUGCUGGGAACUGUAAAUCCCUUGCUCGGUUUCAGCGAUACAUUAAUGCUACAAAUAUUAUUCCCAUAGUCCCAACACAGUUGGAUUAAGUAAACAUAGAUCGAUUGUACACAAUGAAAUUAAGUUGAGACCAAAUGCUAAAGAAUUGUUUUGCAUUUGCUCAUUUUAGAUAAGUUAAUUGAGCAAGCAGGAAAAAUCAUGUCGAGUGAACACCAUCCGUUAGAAGUCUGAAUACAUUUGAACAUUUCAUAGCAAUGUGAUCAUAUCACUUUUUGAUGACUGUGUUGAAUAUCACUUGGACUUUACGCAAUAUAAUUAUGUUCUUAUCUCAAACAUAAAUGAAUUAAGUUGGUUUCAAGUGUACUGGUUUAGUAUUUUCAAUAGACCUGAUUUUCCUUUUUUCAGUGUACACAUGUAAAUAUUUGUAUUGAGUGUUACUUUUGUGUGUAGUACAUACCAAGCUAAGUUUUCUAAUAAAUUGAGACCCUUGCAUCUGGCUUCAAAAUGAUAUGCUGUUAUUGCAUCAGGCAUGGUGUGUAAGGAUUAUGAGUUUAGUCACGCAUAACUAUGUUGGCACUAGAAACCUUAUGAUUCUCUAUGAAUCUCUACGAUAACUGAUUUAUUUAAAUUAUUUUACUGUCUUACUUUCUUACUAUAGUGUUAAGGCAUCUUUUUAUUGCUAUUGUGGGAACAUUUUACCCAUAUUUUCCCCUUAAAUGUGUGUCUGUCCUGUUAACAAUAUGGAAAUCCCUGUUUUAAAUGCUUAUUGUAUCCCUGUUUUAUCAUUAAUGAUGAAACUUGAUAUGUGGAUCAUUAAGCAGCCACAAUGGCCAUAGCAUCACAUAGUUUGAAACAUUGUGCUGUUAUUGAAAAGGAAUGGAAUAUUUAGACCUGUUGGGAUGUGAUUGUUAUGUGUUAAAUCUAAGAUGUUAUGUACUGGAUAUUGACCCUGUAUAGUGUGAAAAACAUUUUCACUUGAAAGCACAUGAAAAACAAUGUGUGAACAAUAGAUUAUGUAAGCUUUUUUAAUUAAAGAACAGCAAAAUAAUAUAAUAAAUAUUAUAUAAAAGCACAAUGCUUUCCAAAAAUUGCUUUUUUUUUUCUUUCUUUUUUUUUUCUUUCUUUUUUUUAAGUGGAUCUUCAUGCCAGUCAGUGUAUGUGUAAUUCAAUAAAUGUA